Molecule: long non-coding RNA, 758 nt
Filed under: Cricetulus griseus (Chinese hamster)
Lineage: Eukaryota; Metazoa; Chordata; Mammalia; Rodentia; Cricetidae
Description: lncRNA (ENSCGRG00015034000.1)
Source: RNAcentral
GGGCGGGCAGAGGUCCUCGGCACCCUGGCCCGGCGGGAACAAACUGCCGCGGUGGCGGGAGCUAGGCUCGUGUGGCUGGAGGCGGGUCAUCCUUCUCUUCGCAGCUCCCGCAAACCCAUGGUUCCCUGGAGCCACAGCCUCCAGUGCUCUCAGCCUCUGAGAGUCAAGGCUUUCGUUGGCGCAGCUGCAGCCGGUGGCAAUGGCUACAAACCUCCUCCCCUCGUCUCCCUAAGGCGGAGCCCAGGCCACCCGGGCCGAAGCGCCCACGGAUCGCGAGUGAGCAGAAACGCCCAGACAGACGCCGCGGGACAGGGACCUACAAGAGUCCCAGGGGUUUCCGGCAAGCUGGAGAGGAGAGUGAUCCGGGGGAGCAAACUUGGCGCCGGCAACUCAGAGAGGUAACCCCUGUACUCAGAGUACUGAGGCAGAGAGUUUGCUUCGAGUUCCAGCCCCGUCUUGGCUACAGAAUGAGACCCUGCCCCAGAAUUAAGUAAAUAAAUGAAAUAAAAUGAAUUUACCUUAUGACCAGUAUGUAAAAGCAGCCCUUAUAGGCCACUGAUUAUGUAGAUCCUAGGUGCCCUAUCCUCUGGGAAAGAAGGUGGUGGUGGGGCGGAUGUAGUCUUCCACUUGGUUCUCAAGCCCUGGCCCAGCUAAGGGACUGCUUAUUGGUAACACAAUAAUAUCUCCAGACAUUGUGCUGAACUAUCUCUCUCUCUCUCUCUCUCUCUCUCUCUCUCUCUCUCUCUCUCUCUCUCUCU